AGUGAACGCUGGCGGCAGGCCUAACACAUGCAAGUCGAACGGCAGCACAAGAGAGCUUGCUCUCUGGGUGGCGAGUGGCGGACGGGUGAGGAAUGCAUCGGAAUCUGCCCAUUUGUGGGGGAUAACCUCGGGAAACCGGGACUAAUACCGCAUACGACCUACGGGUGAAAGCAGGGGAUCUUCGGACCUUGCGCAGAUGGAUGAGCCGAUGCCGGAUUAGCUAGUUGGAGGGGUAAAGGCCCACCAAGGCGACGAUCCGUAGCUGGUCUGAGAGGAUGAUCAGCCACACUGGGACUGAGACACGGCCCAGACUCCUACGGGAGGCAGCAGUGGGGAAUAUUGGACAAUGGGCGCAAGCCUGAUCCAGCCAUGCCGCGUGUGUGAAGAAGGCCUUCGGGUUGUAAAGCACUUUUGUUGGGAAAGAAAAGCAGCCGGUUAAUACCCGGUCGUCAUGACGGUACCCAAAGAAUAAGCACCGGCUAACUUCGUG
Molecule: ribosomal RNA, 490 nt
Filed under: uncultured bacterium
Lineage: Bacteria
Description: partial 16S ribosomal RNA
Rfam family: Bacterial small subunit ribosomal RNA
Source: RNAcentral